RNAcentral lists this non-coding RNA (31 nucleotides) under Rattus norvegicus (Norway rat). Lineage: Eukaryota; Metazoa; Chordata; Mammalia; Rodentia; Muridae. The record is from RNAcentral.
UGACAGUGCCAAAUGUACCCUUGCCGAUGGU